GUAUAUGUUUUAGUAGUAAUAAGUAUUGACUUAUGAAUGAACUGACUCCUUGUAUGCUUCUUGAAACUAAAAGUAGUAANUAGUAUAACCCUAUACCUAUUAUAGUUUAUUAGUAAUUUGAGGGAUGAGUGAAUGUACUGAACUAUGAUAUAAAUCUUUAUGUCUAUACAUAUCCAUAUAAUAUAUAAAUAAGGAUUCAACGACACUCGGACAAAUAACCGGGUACUUUAGGACCACAACCAAACAAGGAACAGGAAGUAAAGUGGGUUAUUUCUCCUAAGUCCUUCAAGCUUUAUUUAUAUGACUAUAUAUGCAUCAGGCAUGGUUUUUAACAAUAUAAGAGUUUAAAAACAUGUAAAAUAGUUUAAUAACAGUUUAAAGUCACUUGCUUGGUAAAACAGUUUGAAGUAAUUAAACUUCCAAUAAUAUACUAGUUAUUAAUCACAUGUGAUUGAUCUAAUAACUUAUCAUGAUUCAACUUGUAUUCUCCCCCAUAAAAACAUUUAAAACAAUUCAAAGGUUGAUUAAUAGGGGUAUGAACUCACCGGUAGUGAGUGGUUCUGAUGACAAUGUUGGAUUAGUUGCUAGGUGUCAAGUGGUGACUUGAGUACACACGCGAAUCCUAUUUAGCAUAUAUCGGCACAUAUAUGAAUAUAAUUAGUGUUAUAAACAACUAAUUAAUGAAUUUGGGACCACCUUAGGUACUAGUAAACACUUAAAAUGAAGUGUUUCAAUCAUAUAUGAUUGUAUGAAGGGUUAUAAGGCUAUACAAGAAAGUGUAUGGCCAAAAUACACACUACAUGUGUGUGUGCGGCCAUGUGUGCGGCCUGGUGUGCGGCCAUGUGUGCGGCCAGGUGUGCUGCCAGAUGGUGUGUGCUGCCAGAAACAUGAUGUUCUUGGUGUUCUUGGUGAAAGUUGUUACCUUUUGGAUGAUACUUGAGAGGAUUUUGAGUCCUUGCUUUGAAGAAAUGUAAGAAAUGAUCAAGAGACCAAGGAUUUCAUAUAUAGAGGAGGUGAGUGUGGCUGGAGGUGUGUGUGGUUGGGUGUGUGCGGCUGGCUGGCCGCACACUCUAGUGUGCCGCUGCACACACCUAACUUGGUGUGUUUGGCCCGUUUUUCCAAUGCUACACUCUAUCUAUCCCAUCCUCCGACAUGUAUCUCAAUUAUACUAAGCUUUAAGCACUCAUUUAGACUCAAAAACCUCAUUAUAGAAUAGCAAAACGAAGCAAAUCUUUAAUAACAAGGAAGAAUGAAAGCUAAAAAUUUCGGGUUGUCACAUCAUCCCCCUGUUGAAGGGAUUUUCGUCCCGAAAUUAGAGUCUAAGCAAAUAAGUUAUUUACAGAAAACUAAGCGAAUAGAUGAGGAUAUAUCAAUUUCAUUUGAUCCUCGCGCUCCCAUGUGAAUUCCGGUCCCCGCUUGGCGUUCCAGCGAACCUUCACAAUCGGGAUGCGGCUUUGUUUCGUCUGUUUGACUUCACGGUCCAUGACCUUUACAGGUUCUUCCACGAAGUUGAGGCUCUCGUGGUUCUCGAUCUCGUCGAGUGGGAUUACAAGAUUCUCGUGGGACAAACACUUUUUCAAGUUCGAAACGUGGAAGGUAGGAUGUACAUUACUAAGUUCGCUCGGUAGGUUGAGUUUGUAAGCUACUGGGCCGAUUCUUGCGAGUAUCUCGAAAGGCCCAAUGUACCUUGGAUUUAGCUUUCCACGCUUUCCGAAGCGUAUUAAGCCCUUCCCGGGUGAGAACUUCAAUAAAACACGGUCGCCCACCUGGAAUUCCAAUGGUUUUCUACGUUUAUCGGCGCAGCUUUUCUGUCGGUCUCUGGAGGCUUUCAAUCGUUCACGGAUCUGAACGAUCUCCCCCGUCAUUUCCCGAAUGAUUUUCGGGCCUAUGCUUGUACUGUCAGAAACUUGCCCCUUUGCUAACUGGGUGUCACCCACUUCAGCCCAGCACAGAGGGGAUCUGCACUUUCAGCCAUAGAGGGCUUCAAAUGGGGCAGCCUUGAUGCUCGUGUGAUAACUGUUAUUGUAGGAAAAUUCGACAAGAGGUAAAUGAGUAUCCCAUGCCUUUCCAAAGUCAAUCACACAGGCUCUCAGCAUAUCUUCUAGUGUUUGAAUGGUUCUCUCACUUUGCCCGUCGGUCUGAGGAUGGUAGGUUGUGCUCAUGUCUAGCCUUGUUCCUAGGGAAUGUUGCAACGAUUGCCAGAAUCUUGAGGUAAACCUACUAUCUCUAUCGGAGAUAAUGGAUAUAGGAACACCAUGCAGUCGUACGAUUUCCCUAAUGUAUGUUCUCGUAAGCUUCUCCAUCUUAUCAGUUUCCUUGAUAGGAAGGAAGUGUGCAGACUUGGUCAAUCUAUCGACGAUGACCCAUAUGGUAUCAAGUCCACCCGUUGUCUUGGGCAACUUGGUUAUGAAAUCCAUAGUGAUCCGCUCCCACUUCCAUUCUGGGAUCUCUGGUUGUUGCAGUAAACCAGAGGGUUUCUGGUACUCGACCUUAACCUUUGCGUAAGUAAGGCAUUUACUUACGAAGGUUGCAAUCUCUGCUUUCAUGUUAGGCCAUCAGUAUAACUUCUUAAGAUCCAGAUACAUCUUAUCUGAACCUGGGGGGACGGAAUAUCGAGUGUUGUGCGCUUCGGUCAUGACCAAGUCUCGAAAACCACCGUGUUUCGGGGUCCAGAUCCGGUCCAUGAAAUAUAGGGCUCCGCCACCCUUGGUUUCUAAGUUCUUGUCCAUUCCUCUAAGGGAUUCACUCACCACAUGUUCAGGUUUCAAGGCUUCAAGUUGAGCCUCCUGAAUUUGUGUAGACAAGUGUGAAUGGAUCGUCAUCGUCAAUGAUUUGACUCUUCGACCAGAAUAUUCUUUCUAACUUAGGGCGUCUGCUACUACGUUGGCUUUACCCGGAUGAUAACGAAUGUCGCAUUCGUAGUCAUUGAGUAGCUCGACCCAUCGUCGUUGGCGCAUAUUGAGCUCCUUCUGAUCGAAUAUGUGUUGUAAACUCUUGUGGUCAGUGAAAAUGGUGCUUUUGGUGCCAUACAGGUAGUGUCUCCAGAUCUUCAGGGCAAACACAACUGCUCCUAGUUCAAGGUCGUGUGUGGUGUAGUUGACUUCGUGUGUCUUCAGCUGUCUCGAGGCGUAGGCGAUGACCUUACCCCGUUGCAUCAGAACACAAUUGAGCCCUUGAUUUGAUGCAUCACAGUACACAAUGAAAUCUUCUAUCCCCUUGGGGAGGGAUAGUAUUGGUGCAGUGCACAAGGCUCGCUUGAGAGUUUGGAACGCUCUCUCCUGUUUCUCUUCCCAGUCAAAGGCCACGCCUUUCUGGGUCAAUGUUGUAAGGGGUUUCACAAUGCGGGAGAAGUUCUGUAUGAAUCUGCGGUAGUAGCCAACGAGACCUAAAAAUUGACGAAAUUAUUGUAGGCGUCUUCGGUGCUGACCAGUUCUCAAUGGCCUUAAUUUUGGAUGGGUCCACAUGGAUUCCCUCUUCACUUACCACAUGUCCUAAGAAUUCGACUCUUCGGAUCCAAAAUUCACAUUACGAGAACUUCACAUAGAGCUUCUCCGUUCGUAAAGUUACUAGAACUUGUCGCAGGUGAUCACCAUGCUCUUCCUUACUUCGGGAGUAGAUCAGGAUGUCGUCAAUAAAGACAAUGACGAACUGAUCCAAGUAAGGUCGGCAUACUAUAUUCAUCAAAUCCAUGAAGACUGCGGGCGCAUUGGUCAAUCCGAAUGGCAUCACUAUGAACUCGUAGUGUCCGUAACGAGUUCGGAAGGCUGUCUUCGGAACAUCCUCCUCUAAUACUCGUAACUAGUGAUAUCCGGAUCUCAGAUCAAUUUUGGAAAAAUAAUUCGCCCCUUGCAGUUGGUCAAAUAAAUCGUCGAUGCGAGGCAGAGGGUAACGAUUUUUGACCGUCAGUUUGUUGAGUUCCCUGUAGUCGAUACACAUACGGAAUGAUCUGUCUUUCUUCUUAACGAACAAGACCGGUGCUCCCCAAGGUGAGAAACUCGGUCUUAUAAAGCCUUUGCUGAGAAGUUCGUUANGUUCCUGCAUUCAGCUGGUGCUAAUCGGUAUGGCGACUUGGCUACUAGGGUAGCUCCUGGAUUUAAGUCGAUUCUGAACUCGAGCUGUCGUUGUAGAGGUAAUCCUGGUAGCUCUUCUGGAAAGAUGUUGGGAAAUUCGCUCACUACUAGAAUGCCUUUUAUUUCUUUCGUUUCUAGGCUUGUAUCGACAACGUGAGCAAGGAAUGCACGAUAUUCCUUACGAAGAUAUUUUUGUGCUUGAAUACUGGAGAUAAUACGAAGACUUGUACCGGGUUUGUCGCCGUAGAUGACUAGAAUUUCGUUAGACGGGAGGUUUAGACGGACUGCUUUCUCAUAGCAUAAUGUCGGCGCGAUGAAGACUCAACCAAUCCAUGCUGAUGAUAACGUCNGAAGCUUUUUAUUGAAACCGGCAUGAGGUCGAUUGGAAAUGAAUGGUUAUCUAGAGUUAGGUUGCAUCCGAAGUAUAUGCUCCUGGUGCUUUUAGUUUUCCCAUUAUCAAUUUCUACCGUGAAUUGUUCUUUAAGUGCGUGCGGUUGAUGUUUAAGUAUGUGAGCAAAUUUAUGGUUCACGAAGCUUCGCUCCGCUCCACUAUCGAACAGAAUGCAUGCAUAGGAGUUAUCGAGAAGGAACGUACAAGUCACCACCGUCGUGUCAGCAACCGCUUCCCCAUGGCCUAUUGCGAGUACUCUCCCCGCUCCACCUGCAUUCUUUGCUUUGGGGCAGUCCCUCUUAUAGUGGCCCACAUCGCCACAACCAUAGCAAGCCUGGCUUACGCCCAUACCGGGGACAUGGUUAAUCGGCCUCGCCGGAGAUUUACAGAAACGGACAGUGUGUCCUUUCUUGUUGCAAUUAGAGUACUGCAUUUCACGGCAGGGGCCGUUGUGGUAGAAGUUGCAUUUGUUGCACUGAGGUAAACUUCCAGCAUACUGCUUCACCGGAGCAGUAGCAGCAGCAGGGGUUAUCACGGCAUGCACGGCCACAAUUUCUGCUUUUUGGAGCUCGUUGUUUCUUCUUGUCAUCCCAAAACUUCCGCUUAGUGUCAGCAGNAUAGGGGUUAUCGCGGCAUGCACAGCCACAAUUUGCUACUUUUUGGCAGCUCACUGUUUCUUCUUGUCAUCCCAAAACUUCCGCUUAGUGUCAGCGGGUUUGGAUGGUUCCGCGGUGGCUAGGGUUGUUGUUGCUGUUGGGGAUUGGACUCCAUGGUCAAUGAGUCGAUGUGCCAGUCGCUUGGCACUGUCGAAGGUAGUAGGGUUUGAUGAUAGGACAUUUCCCUGAUACGGAGGCACCAGCCCCCAGAUGUACCUCUCGAUCUUCUUCCCUUCAGUGGGAACCAUAUUGGGGCAGAGGGCCACCGGUUCGCUGAAUCUGGCGGUAUAUGCGACUAUGUUGGAGCCCUUCAUGGUUAGGCCCCACAGCUCCUGGUCCAAUUUCUGAAUCUCGCCCCUCGGGCAGUACUCCUCAAUCAUGAGGUCUUUCAUAGUUUACCAGCCCAUGUCGUUGGCUCCGACGAGAGUUAGAGCUUUAACGUGGCCGCUCCACCACGUCAGAGCUUUCCCUUCAAAGGUGCAUGCGGCAUAUUUAACCUUGCUCGCCGCAGGGCAUGAACAAAUUUCGAAGACCGAUUCCGUCUUCUCGAACCAUUGCGAGAGGGAAAUGACUCCGCCGGUCCCAUGAAAGGACUUCGGCUUGCAGUUUGUAAAAUCCUUGUAGGAGCACUCUCUCGUGCGCACAGGGAUUUCAGCGUGAGUAGAUUCAAUAGGGGUUCCACCUCGACUGUUGUCAGUUGAGUGAUAUUGAGCCAUGCUACUGCAGCAUUCAGAGCCGCAGUAUCGAUGACAGGAGGAGGAGGUGGUGGUGGGGUUGGAGGAUUACGUCUUGUUGACUUGUGAGGAGGCAUCUUUCAGCUAUAAGUUUAUAAAGACAAAUACAAUGGUAAGAAUCAAUUGUAAGCAGGGUGAGAGUGACACAUGGACUAAACAGCCAUAGUCCAACAGUUGAAUGAACGUACAAAUUGAGUUUACAAUAGGGAAUAAUAGUAGGAAAAACACAAGUGCAAAGAUUUUCCCACAGAAUAGAUAGUUGUCAAUAUUACUGGUAUUAUUGAUGUAAUAAGUUCGGGGAAAAUCGACCUAGCAGUAGGUCUUACAUCAUACCAUACGAAAAAGUUUGACAGUUUCUAGAUUCCUAAUUAGAGUACUGAAAGUUAGGAAUAUUUUACAGACAAGUGCUACCUAAGGCCCAUAUAUUAAAGGCUAUUCCUUAAACAAAAGACGAAGAUGUGCUAGACAUCUUCUACCGGCGACGAGAAUUCCUAGGGCGAAUCCUCAUAUCUUCCAGUUAACAAACCACUUCUCGGAGGUGUCGUUCGUGAGCUCUUUGGCAAACUCGAAGUUCUGCGACUUCGGUGGUCAAUUGUUGUCAUAGUGCGUCAUUGGUUUUCCUCGUCCCUUCGAGUGCUUCUUCCAGAUGUCGAAUGCGGACGGUGUUAAUGCCUGAGUUGGCAUCAAUUUCCAUGACCCGGUCGAGGGCUGCUCGACCUUGUUCAACGUUACGUGAAAUUCUACGGACCAUGACGGGCAGAGGUCUAUCCGCAGAACCACCUUCGCUAAUGUUGUAAAAGCUUCGGUCCCCAAAGUAAGGUAAGGGUUGACCCUGUUCGUCGCUCCAGCGAUUCAAGUUGUUUACCCACAAGGGUGUGGGACCUAGAAAAGCUGGUCGGGGAUUGUUGUUUGGGGCUUGACCUACGGGAGGUAGAUUAUUGACUUCGGGCUCAGAGUCAGAUCCAUCCGAGAAACCUUCUGCUUGAUGAUCAUCCAAUGGGAUUUGGUGCUCAUCAUCGGACUCUGCUUCGAGCCAUCCUGCGUUGCCUUCGUUUGGAAAGUAUGGGUCGCCAUGAUGAAAUCCAGCCAUGAUAUCUAUGCGAGAAAGGGGAUAUAAGAAUCUUAUGAAAUUAGACGUACUACUAAGAUAAUUAUAAGAUGAUCCAUAUCAAUCAUGUCAAUACUUGUGUAGUGCAUACCAGUUAUAUGAAAGUAGAGUAGGAUAAGGCCUUCGAAUAAGUAGCCCUAACUCCAAAACCACAACCAAACAAGGAACAAGAGGUGAAGCAAAGGUUACAGAGUCUCAGACUAUAACACCUAAUUUCAUACAACCUUGAAGUAUCCACUUAACGACUAUUGACCUAUUUGAUAAUGACCCUUUUAGUUCUCAGAUAAUUGAUUAAAGUAACACAAAAUACUCCUAUAGUAUUUUAAACCUAUGCUAUGUUCUAAUGAUCCUAUUGUAGUAGUGUUGGUAAGUUUUUAGACUUGUUACUAUAUCACAACCAUUCUAGGGCAUAUCCUAAUCACUCCUCGGACCAACAUAGUUGAUCAGGCUAUGCCAUUCCCAAGACUGGCCAUACAUCCCCGAGCUCACUUGUGAUAUCUAACAAUCGCAAUACUUUUGUUCUUGUCAAUGUGACACUGAUUUUAUUAUGAACGCAAACUUGUAUACUUAGUUAAAUAUUUUUGUAUUUAAAGUAUAGACUCUUGGUCAGAGUGUUUUAAUCCCAAAUGGGUUUAUAGUUAGUAUAUCUUUUAUGGGUUGAUAUACUCAAUUCACUAUAAACAAUGCUCUGAUACCAAUCUGUCACACCCCAAAACCAAGAACGGCGGAAACGUUCUGGGGCGGAGGACGUCAUGUAAAGUAUCACAACACAGUAAAAGUAAACAAGCAAACAACAUCAUCCAUUGCAUUAAAUAUAUAAUUUUAAUACAAGCAUGUUCUGUACAGUUAUAGACACCAAAAAUGUAAAUCAAAACAAAGAGAUGAGUCCUGAGUGCGCUCCAUCUUCUGAAAAGCUGGUCUCGGUACCUGUCUACUAAUGACCUGAGAAUACAAGUUAUUUUGAAAGAGUUUAUCAACAUUAAGCUGGUGAGUUCAUAAGUAUUUAGUGUCGGUGUUUGUAUCAAAAUGUUUGAACGUGAUGUUGAAGUAAGAGUCUGUAAUCAUUUGUAAUAAAAGUAUAUAUAUGUUUGUAAGGUUUGUAAAAGUUUGUGAUCUCCUAGAAAAUCCUAUAUUUUCUACUAAAAGUAGCCUUCUACCAAGGCAUAACUGUUUUGUGUGUUUGCUUCUUGUAAACGUGUGUAAUUUUCCCAAGUAUAACUAUCAUUAUCAAAAUAAAGUUUGUACAUUAUUGUUUAAGUGAAAAGAUCACUAAAUAUAUGUAAAGGGUAAAUUAAUGUAGUACUGUAGUGUUGUAUUAUAGGAACUACUGCCGUACUAACUACCUUAAACCGGAUUUAUAUUAAGGUAUCAUGUGAUUAAUUGUACCAUACUAUCGACUGGGUAACAACGACAAAUGUAGGUCGUAAAAAGGUAUGACGUUUGGCACCCGCAGACCUGCAGGUCCGGCUGUAGCUAGCAGCAAGGUGUAGGAUAGUCAAUCCAGUAUAGAUCUAUACGCAAACUCACGCUCUCCCUCCAAGAGACUUCUGGCUACAACUCGGGCCAUGACAUUUAAGGCAUGCUCCGAUACAGUAGAUCACAUUUAUGUAAAUGUAUUCAAGUAUGUGUAAUGUAUUGUUUCUGUUCUAGUAUCAUUAUAUAUGUUCUCUUUCUAGUAUAGUUGAAUAUGUACUCCUUUUAGUAUAGUUGUAUAUGUUCCCUUCUAGUAUAGUUGUAUAUGUUCUCAUAGUAAUAUCAUGUAUAUGUUUUAGUAGUAAUAAGUAUUGACUUAUGAAUGAACUGACUCCUUGUAUGCUUCUUGAAACUAAAAGUAGUAAGUAGUAUANCUUCUUGAAAUAAAAGUAGUAAGUAGUAUAACCCUAAACUAUACCUAUUAUAGUUCAUUAGUAAUUUGAGGGAUGAGUGAAUGUACUGAACUAUGAUAUAAAUCUUUAUGUCUAUACAUACGACACUCGGACAAAUAACCGGGUACUUUAGGACCACAACCAAACAAGGAACAGGAAGUAAAGUGGGUUAUUUCUCCUAAGUCCUUCAAGCUUUAUUUAUAUGACUAUAUAUGCAUCAGGCAUGGUUUUUAACAAUAUAAGAGUUUAAAAACAUGUAAAAUAGUUUAAUAACAGUUUAAAGUCACUUGCUUGGUAAAACAGUUUGAAGUAAU
This 9138-nucleotide long non-coding RNA is filed under the name Lactuca sativa (garden lettuce). RNAcentral's name for it is "long non-coding RNA (LSAT_LNC008746)". Lineage: Eukaryota; Viridiplantae; Streptophyta; Magnoliopsida; Asterales; Asteraceae. The record is from RNAcentral.